CCCUUAGAUGUCCUGGGCUGCACGCGCGCUACACUGACGAACUCAACGAGCUUAUCACCUUGGCAGAGAUGUCUGGGUAAUCUUUUGAAAGUUCGUCGUGCUGGGGAUAGAUGAUUGUAAUUAUUCGUCUUGAACGAGGAAUUCCUAGUAAGCGCAAGUCAACAGCUUGCGUUGAUUACGUCCCUGCCCUUUGUACACACCGCCCGUCGCUACUACUGAUUGGAUGUUUAAGCGAGGUUCUCGAACUGCUAGCGACUUAGCUUCGGUGAGGUCGCAGUGUGGGAAGUGAACCUAGCUUUGGUGUCUAGAGGAAGUAAAAGUCGUAACA
RNAcentral lists this ribosomal RNA (328 nucleotides) under uncultured eukaryote. Its description in RNAcentral is "partial 18S ribosomal RNA". It matches the Rfam family "Eukaryotic small subunit ribosomal RNA", at positions 1470 to 1796 of the family's 1831-position model. The record is from RNAcentral.